AACGAACGCUGGCGGCAUGCCUAAUACAUGCAAGUCGAACGAGAUCUUCGGAUCUAGUGGCGCACGGGUGCGUAACGCGUGGGAAUCUACCCUUAGGUUCGGAAUAACAUCGGGAAACUGAUGCUAAUACCGGAUGAUGACGUAAGUCCAAAGAUUUAUCGCCUGAGGAUGAGCCCGCGUAGGAUUAGCUAGUUGGUAGGGUAAAGGCUUACCAAGGCGACGAUCCUUAGCUGAUCUGAGAGGAGGAUCAGCCACACUGGGACUGAGACACGGCCCAGACUCCUACGGGAGGCAGCAGUAGGGAAUAUUGGACAAUGGGGGCAACCCUGAUCCAGCAAUGCCGCGUGAGUGAUGAAGGCCUUAGGGUUGUAAAGCUCUUUUACCCGGGAUGAUAAUGACAGUACCGGGAGAAUAAGCCCCGGCUAACUCCGUGCCAGCAGCCGCCGCGG
This 449-nucleotide ribosomal RNA is filed under the name uncultured bacterium. RNAcentral's name for it is "partial 16S ribosomal RNA". It matches the Rfam family "Bacterial small subunit ribosomal RNA", at positions 29 to 523 of the family's 1533-position model. The record is from RNAcentral.